UGCGUAGGCUGAUAUAUAAGUCAGUGGUGAAAUCCUGCGGCUCAACCGUAGAACUGCCAUUGAUACUGAAGUUCUUGAAUGCAGUUGAGGUAGGCGGAAUGUGUAAUGUAGCGGUGAAAUGCUUAGAUAUUACACAGAACACCGAUUGCGAAGGCAGCUUGCUAAACUGUGAUUGACGCUGAUGCACGAAAGCGUGGGGAGCGAACAGGAUUAGAUACCCUGGUAGUCC
This 229-nucleotide ribosomal RNA is filed under the name uncultured bacterium. RNAcentral describes it as "partial 16S ribosomal RNA". It matches the Rfam family "Bacterial small subunit ribosomal RNA", at positions 568 to 796 of the family's 1533-position model. The record is from RNAcentral.